This 440-nucleotide ribosomal RNA is filed under the name uncultured Sphingomonas sp. RNAcentral's name for it is "bacterial SSU rRNA". It matches the Rfam family "Bacterial small subunit ribosomal RNA", at positions 338 to 795 of the family's 1533-position model. Lineage: Bacteria; Pseudomonadati; Pseudomonadota; Alphaproteobacteria; Sphingomonadales; Sphingomonadaceae. The record is from RNAcentral.
CCUACGGGUGGCAGCAGUGGGGAAUAUUGGACAAUGGGCGAAAGCCUGAUCCAGCAAUGCCGCGUGAGUGAUGAAGGCCUUAGGGUUGUAAAGCUCUUUUACCCGGGAAGAUAAUGACUGUACCGGGAGAAUAAGCCCCGGCUAACUCCGUGCCAGCAGCCGCGGUAAUACGGAGGGGGCUAGCGUUGUUCGGAAUUACUGGGCGUAAAGCGUACGUAGGCGGCUUGGUAAGUUAGAGGUGAAAGCCUGGGGCUCAACCCCAGAAUUGCCUUUAAGACUGCCUCGCUUGAACGUCGGAGAGGUGAGUGGAAUUCCGAGUGUAGAGGUGAAAUUCGUAGAUAUUCGGAAGAACACCAGUGGCGAAGGCGGCUCACUGGACGACUGUUGACGCUGAGGUACGAAAGCGUGGGGAGCAAACAGGCUUAGAUACCCCAGUAGUC